RNAcentral lists this unclassified non-coding RNA (234 nucleotides) under plant metagenome. RNAcentral describes it as "partial contains small subunit ribosomal RNA, internal transcribed spacer 1, and 5.8S ribosomal RNA". The record is from RNAcentral.
UUUCCGUAGGUGAACCUGCGGAAGGAUCAUUACUGAGUUAGGACCCUCUGUGUACAACAUCCCGCACGUGUUUAUUGUCCCUGUUUGCUUCGGUGAGCCCGCCUCACUGCCGCCGAGAGGAAUCUGCCCCCGGGCCCGCGGUCGCCGAAGAAACCAAUGACCUCUGUCUGAAGUUUGCAGUCUGAGCGAAAACUAAAUAAGUUAAAACUUUCAACAACGGAUCUCUUGGUUCUG